This 69-nucleotide transfer RNA is filed under the name Presbytis melalophos (mitred leaf monkey). Its description in RNAcentral is "tRNA-Ser". It matches the Rfam family "tRNA". Rfam says of the family: Transfer RNA (tRNA) molecules are approximately 80 nucleotides in length. The record is from RNAcentral. Lineage: Eukaryota; Metazoa; Chordata; Mammalia; Primates; Cercopithecidae.
GAAAAAGUUAUAGGGAUUAUAGGAUUGGCUUGAAACCAAUUUCAGAGGGUUCGAUUCCUUCCUUUUUUG